This 1326-nucleotide ribosomal RNA is filed under the name Salmonella enterica subsp. enterica serovar Uganda. RNAcentral describes it as "partial 23S ribosomal RNA". It matches the Rfam family "Bacterial large subunit ribosomal RNA", at positions 1428 to 2739 of the family's 2925-position model. Lineage: Bacteria; Pseudomonadati; Pseudomonadota; Gammaproteobacteria; Enterobacterales; Enterobacteriaceae. The record is from RNAcentral.
GGUUAAUAUUCCCGUACUUGGUGUUACUGCGAAGGGGGGACGGAGAAGGCUAUGUUGGCCGGGCGACGGUUGUCCCGGUUUAAGCGUGUAGGCUGGUUUUCCAGGCAAAUCCGGAAAAUCAAGGCUGAGGCGUGACGACGAGGCACUACGGUGCUGAAGCAACAAAUGCCCUGCUUCCAGGAAAAGCCUCUAAGCAUCAGGUAACAUCAAAUCGUACCCCAAACCGACACAGGUGGUCAGGUAGAGAAUACCAAGGCGCUUGAGAGAACUCGGGUGAAGGAACUAGGCAAAAUGGUGCCGUAACUUCGGGAGAAGGCACGCUGACACGUAGGUGAAGUGAUUUACUCAUGGAGCUGAAGUCAGUCGAAGAUACCAGCUGGCUGCAACUGUUUAUUAAAAACACAGCACUGUGCAAACACGAAAGUGGACGUAUACGGUGUGACGCCUGCCCGGUGCCGGAAGGUUAAUUGAUGGGGUCAGCGCAAGCGAAGCUCCUGAUCGAAGCCCCGGUAAACGGCGGCCGUAACUAUAACGGUCCUAAGGUAGCGAAAUUCCUUGUCGGGUAAGUUCCGACCUGCACGAAUGGCGUAAUGAUGGCCAGGCUGUCUCCACCCGAGACUCAGUGAAAUUGAACUCGCUGUGAAGAUGCAGUGUACCCGCGGCAAGACGGAAAGACCCCGUGAACCUUUACUAUAGCUUGACACUGAACAUUGAGCCUUGAUGUGUAGGAUAGGUGGGAGGCUUUGAAGCGUGGACGCCAGUCUGCGUGGAGCCGACCUUGAAAUACCACCCUUUAAUGUUUGAUGUUCUAACGUGGACCCGUAAUCCGGGUUGCGGACAGUGUCUGGUGGGUAGUUUGACUGGGGCGGUCUCCUCCUAAAGAGUAACGGAGGAGCACGAAGGUUGGCUAAUCCUGGUCGGACAUCAGGAGGUUAGUGCAAUGGCAUAAGCCAGCUUGACUGCGAGCGUGACGGCGCGAGCAGGUGCGAAAGCAGGUCAUAGUGAUCCGGUGGUUCUGAAUGGAAGGGCCAUCGCUCAACGGAUAAAAGGUACUCCGGGGAUAACAGGCUGAUACCGCCCAAGAGUUCAUAUCGACGGCGGUGUUUGGCACCUCGAUGUCGGCUCAUCACAUCCUGGGGCUGAAGUAGGUCCCAAGGGUAUGGCUGUUCGCCAUUUAAAGUGGUACGCGAGCUGGGUUUAGAACGUCGUGAGACAGUUCGGUCCCUAUCUGCCGUGGGCGCUGGAGAACUGAGGGGGGCUGCUCCUAGUACGAGAGGACCGGAGUGGACGCAUCACUGGUGUUCGGGUUGUCAUGCCAAUGGCACU